Molecule: unclassified non-coding RNA, 285 nt
Filed under: Hevea brasiliensis (rubber tree)
Lineage: Eukaryota; Viridiplantae; Streptophyta; Magnoliopsida; Malpighiales; Euphorbiaceae
Source: RNAcentral
GAAAUUUUCUAUAAUUUCAAUCAGAUCUAAGAUUUUUCUUGCGGUUGAAUCUUUUAUCUGUGAAAACUAGAAGAAAAGUUUUGUUUCUGAUUUUGAAAUAUAAAUGGGGCUUUCGUUUUUGGCUGGCCUCAUUUUGUAUAUAAUUUCCAACUACAUUUUGCUCUUGGUUUUUUAAAGAAUUUUAAUUCUUGAAAAUUUUAUUGUUCUUCCCAGAUUUAUAUUGCUUUUAACGUUUCAAAUUUGAAAAAAAAAAAUAAUAAUAGGUGAAAGAUGGCUGGAAAAGGA